Molecule: ribosomal RNA, 497 nt
Filed under: uncultured bacterium
Lineage: Bacteria
Description: partial 16S ribosomal RNA
Rfam family: Bacterial small subunit ribosomal RNA
Source: RNAcentral
UAUGCACGCUGGCGGCGUGCCUAAUACAUGCAAGUCAAGCGAACAGACGAGGAGCUUGCUCCUCUGACGUUAGCGGCGGACGGGUGAGUAACACGUGGAUAACCUACCUAUAAGACUGGGAUAACUUCGGGAAACCGGAGCUAAUACCGGAUAACAUGUUGAACCGCAUGGUUCAACAGUGAAAGACGGUCUUGCUGUCACUUAUAGAUUGAUCCGCGCCGCAUUAGCUAGUUGGUAAGGUAACGGCUUACCAAGGCAACGAUGCGUAGCCGACCUGAGAGGGUGAUAGGCCACACUGGAACUGAGACACGGUCCAGACUCCUACGGGAGGCAGCAGUAGGGAAUCUUCCGCAAUGGGCGAAAGCCUGACGUAGCAACGCCGCGUGAGUGAAGAAGGUCUUCGGCUCGUAAAACUCUGUUAUUAUGGAAGAACAAAUGUGUAAGUAACUAUGCACGUAUUGACGGUACCUAAUCAGAAAGCCACGGCUAACUACGUG